AUGAGCCAGAGCAGCCAAGUAGCCAAUGUGGACUUGAGGAAAGAAGCAGUCCUCAUCCAUGCUGAGGUUCACCUCGAGCCUCGGUGUGUCAGGCCUGGGAACAAGAGGAGGAAGUUUGCCACGAGACUUUGGUACUUCGUGAGACACCUCAGAGGUUCUAACAGCCUCUCUGCAGCUGGCGAGUACAAGAUGAAGCAAGGUGUUUCUGAGAGCUGGAAUUGGUCCAGGAGUUGUCUUGGAUGCCACUGGAUCACAAGGUGCCAUGGCCCAGGGUCUCUAAUGAUUGACAGGUGAUGAGCCCUUAGCACAGCUAGCUCUAUUUGGUCCUUCGCGGACACUGAUAUUUCACUGUCGUCACUGAAACGUGGCUCUCUUUGCAGUCUAUGUAAAUAGUGUGGUCAGUGUUAGAAGUAAAAUCUCUUGCUUAUAAAAGGCUUCCAUGAAUAUCUUAGUUUGGAAUGCCUUUCUCAACUUGCUCUGUGCACAAGGAGAGGAAAGGCGGUGCCCUUUCAAGUUCAGAUCACAGAAUGACUGUUAUCUUUAACACUUUUAAGGUACCCUUAACUGUGAAGUAAAGUGUAAAUUAGCAGGAAAAACAUGUUUGGUUUCCUGGCUAAGAGGGAGAAGUUUCAACAGUUGACAUCCCGCUGAUUUUUUUGGUUUUGGCUCAUAAGUGUUCUGUUUUUAAUAGUGCUGACAAAACUUCUGAAAGUGAGGAAUAUAGUGCAUAAAAGAACACAAGUCCCCAUCUUAAAGAAUCUUGUUGGAUUAAUUUCCUAUAGCACAUAUAUGUUUUGUUUAUAGAAUUUAUUAAUAGUGUGCAUCUUAUGCACCUUUUUUGUAUUACAGAGAUACAUAUAUAUGUAGCAGUAUAAUGUUUGCAUCUUUUUCAGUUCAAUCUCCCAAUUUAGUGAACUUUAAUAUUUUCUAAUUAUGUUAACUUCUUUUUUACUCAAAACACGGUAAAUUGUGAUUAUUUUACUCCAUUAAAAAGUACUUUCAGAUGGUCCAAAGAUUUAAAUUAAGUGCGCGUGUUAUGUUGGUAUUUAAUUACAUGCUUGAGAUUUCUAUUGCCAGUGAAAAUAUUUUACUCUCUUUAGAAAUAAAUUUAUACUUCAUAUUGAUAGCUUUAAUAAA
This 1137-nucleotide long non-coding RNA is filed under the name Vulpes vulpes (red fox). Its description in RNAcentral is "lncRNA (ENSVVUG00000005952.1)". Lineage: Eukaryota; Metazoa; Chordata; Mammalia; Carnivora; Canidae. The record is from RNAcentral.